Molecule: ribosomal RNA, 465 nt
Filed under: Vreelandella stevensii
Lineage: Bacteria; Pseudomonadati; Pseudomonadota; Gammaproteobacteria; Oceanospirillales; Halomonadaceae
Description: partial 16S ribosomal RNA
Rfam family: Bacterial small subunit ribosomal RNA
Source: RNAcentral
CCUACGGGGGGCAGCAGUGGGGAAUAUUGGACAAUGGGGGGAACCCUGAUCCAGCCAUGCCGCGUGUGUGAAGAAGGCCCUCGGGUUGUAAAGCACUUUCAGUGAGGAAGAACGCCUGGUGGUUAAUACCCAUCAGGAAAGACAUCACUCACAGAAGAAGCACCGACUAACUCCGUGCCAGCAGCCGCGGUAAUACGGAGGGUGCGAGCGUUAAUCGGAAUUACUGGGCGUAAAGCGCGCGUAGGUGGCUUGAUAAGCCGGUUGUGAAAGCCCCGGGCUCAACCUGGGAACGGCAUCCGGAACUGUCAAGCUAGAGUGCAGGAGAGGAAGGUAGAAUUCCCGGUGUAGCGGUGAAAUGCGUAGAGAUCGGGAGGAAUACCAGUGGCGAAGGCGGCCUUCUGGACUGACACUGACACUGAGGUGCGAAAGCGUGGGUAGCAAACAGGAUUAGAUACCCCGGUAGUC